AGUGAACGCUGGCGGUAGGCCUAACACAUGCAAGUCGAACGGCAGCACAGUAAGAGCUUGCUCUUACGGGUGGCGAGUGGCGGACGGGUGAGGAAUACAUCGGAAUCUACUUUUUCGUGGGGGAUAACGUAGGGAAACUUACGCUAAUACCGCAUACGACCUACGAGUGAAAGCAGGGGAUCUUCGGACCUUGCGCGAUUGAAUGAGCCGAUGUCGGAUUAGCUAGUUGGCGGGGUAAAGGCCCACCAAGGCGACGAUCCGUAGCUGGUCUGAGAGGAUGAUCAGCCACACUGGAACUGAGACACGGUCCAGACUCCUAUGGGAGGCAGCAGUGGGGAAUAUUGGACAAUGGGCGCAAGCCUGAUCCAGCCAUACCGCGUGGGUGAAGAAGGCCUUCGGGUUGUAAAGCCCUUUUGUUGGGAAAGAAAAGCAGCAGGUUAAUACCCCGCUGUUCUGACGGUACCCAAAGAAUAAGCACCGGCUAACUUCGUG
Molecule: ribosomal RNA, 492 nt
Filed under: uncultured bacterium
Lineage: Bacteria
Description: partial 16S ribosomal RNA
Rfam family: Bacterial small subunit ribosomal RNA
Source: RNAcentral